RNAcentral lists this small RNA (29 nucleotides) under Bombyx mori (domestic silkworm). RNAcentral's name for it is "ovarian small RNA-28308". The record is from RNAcentral. Lineage: Eukaryota; Metazoa; Arthropoda; Insecta; Lepidoptera; Bombycidae.
UCGACGAGGAACCCCUCAAAGUCGGCGAG